UUGCUUUUGGGAGAAAUAUCCCUGGUUUAAUUUAUUUUCUGGGUGUGCUACUGAACACCAAGUCUUUAUUUUUUUUGGAGCAGAAAAAAUGUACGCUCCUGCAAUCCUUUCCCUGAAUGCAAAAUUUACUGGAAGUUCACAUGAUGCAUAUGUCAUUAGACAAUCAGGGAUAUGGCAGAGAUUAAGAUCAAGUCAACGAGCAGACAUGUGGUUAUUGGGAGACCGUGGAUAUCCUUGCACCCCCUGGCUCAUGACUCCUUACCGUAAUCCCAGGCCAGGACCACAGAUGGCAUUUAACUCCGCGCUUACUGCCACUAGGCAGCUGGUGGAGCGCACAAUUGGUGUCCUUAAAGGGCGGUUUCGUGUGCUCCACCGCACUGGUGGCGACAUCAUGUAUUCGCCGGAGAUGGCAAGUAAAAUAGUGGUCCUGUGCGCAAUACUACAUAAUAUCGCGGUAAGGAGUAGUGUAGAGCUUCCUCAGGCAGAGGAAUUGCCUGAUGAGGAGCCAGGGGUUGGUCGACGCUUCGGUGGGUGGAGUGUGACACGGAGGGGGAGCCAAGUGAGGGCAAGAAUUGUUGCCGAAUAUUUCAGGUAUAGUGUUUUUAUAUUUUCUAUUUGAACAAAUAAUACAACACAGUAUGCUUAUGUUUUUUAAACAAUGAUGUCAUUUUGUAUGAUAUUGUAAAGUGAUUGGGUAAGGCUUUUGUUGUGUUGGAAUGGGUAAUUGUUUUUUUCUACAAAAUCCAAAAACACGUUAAGCUUACAAUGUUUAGUUAGAAAUUAAAAGACUGUAAUGUUGCUAAAUAGUGUCCUUAUUUGUUUUAUAUCCUCAAAUCCUGAUUAUGUAACCAAACACACAAACAAAUGAUACUCAAUGUUUCACACUUUGUGACUGUCCAGCUGAAU
Long non-coding RNA from Pseudophryne corroboree (corroboree frog), 906 nucleotides. RefSeq lists it as uncharacterized. The transcript is spliced from 4 exons. Lineage: Eukaryota; Metazoa; Chordata; Amphibia; Anura; Myobatrachidae. The record is from RefSeq and is a predicted model, not a curated record.